Molecule: long non-coding RNA, 3846 nt
Organism: Armigeres subalbatus
Lineage: Eukaryota; Metazoa; Arthropoda; Insecta; Diptera; Culicidae
Exons: 4
Source: RefSeq, a predicted model, not a curated record
AAUCGCACUUGAAUCGGUUUAGUCGUCAGUGUAGUUUUUUUGUGCUUUUUUAGCCGAAAAAAAAGUUAAAAAAAUCUCGAGUUUCCCGGUUCUCGAGGUAGUUGAAUAAAUUUUCUUCGUACAUGGCAACAAUCGACCGGUUUAUUCCACGAAAACGGUGUUCGGCUUGUGUAUUUUGGUGAGGCGGCGGUGGCACUGGGAAUUGUGUCUGCGCGAGUCCGUCGAAAGCGAAAAAUGUGGUCAAUACGAAGCUAAUUCGUCGCAUCGUUUUCGUACCGACAAAAAACGUUAUGUUCCCGUACCGACGGAAAACCCGGUGUGAGAAGAUUUGGUUUGUGUUUCAGUGAGGUGGCGGUUGCGUGGAAGGUGUCCAUUGGAAGCAGAAAACACGGAGAAAAUGAAGCUGAUUCGGUUAAUCAUAACCGUUCACUACCGACGAUAAAUCCGAUGGAAGUUAAAAUUGUGAUAAUUCGUCCGGUUGAUUUCGCGAAAAACCGAGAGAAGAUACGGGAUUUGUCUCAUGUGUUACAGUGAGGCGGCGGUGGUAGUGACACCCCAACGGAUGCGAAAUAACAUGUGGACAAAACGAAGCUGAUUCGUCGUAUAAACCAUUCCCUACCGACGGAAAACCCAAUGGUUAGUUUGAAGUCAGAUAAAUGGCUAUCAACGGUUGCUAUUAGAAACCCUGGUUAAACCACAAAGGAAGUACUGUUUGAUAUGAUCAGCUAGUUGCAAUCAUUUCAUCCCACGAACUGUAAAAGCAACAGGAUGAGUUCACCGAUCUGAAGCAGCAACAUCAGUGGACCAUAGUUCCUGUUCAUCAUCCACGGAAGCGAAAAAAUCGCCAUUGCACUACGGUGACUCUCACAAGGAUUCGCAGGAGUUAGUAGAAGCAACAAUUUCAAUUUCAAUGGAGACGGAAGUGAAGCAAUGGCAACACCAAGCCUCCGCAUUUGGGACGUCAUGUCAGCACGAUCAAGUGUAACUCGUCGGCACGCCUUAAACCAAACGAUUAAUCCCGGACAUCCGGAGGACACCACACCAGCUUCAAAACGUCGAUCUCGAAACGAGACACUCUUUAAUACUACCCCCUCAGUGAUGGCACCUUCGAUCGCGAUGACACCAACUCUGCAUGGCACAUGGCAACAUCAAACCCAACUCCGACAGGAACCCAUCCUUGUUUUUUGCUCAAGUCAAGGACAACAGCGUCAAAUUUACCAUCAACCAACCCAAAGGGAGUAUACCUUUUAUGAAACCGGAAGUUUCGGCAAGCUCUCAGCUCAAGCUCAAGCCCUGAAUAGCAAACGGAAGCAAAAUUAUGAAACUGCUUUUUUAAAUCCAAGUACGGAACUCCUCCGAUGUAAAAGUCAUCUGUCCACCAAAUUAUCGAUAAAGCACUUGAGUUCGGCACUGGACCGCUGCUCAACCGAAUCGUCUCACUUCUCAAAAGUCAGGAACGUCACAUGCUGGUCAAAGUCAUCGAGCAAAUCCUGUAUAAGCAGGUGCACGUUUAUGGCGUUGGCCUUGGUGGAAUCUGGCGCACCGUACUGUAUCGAGUAAUUCGAUUUUGUAUGGCCAUUAGGUUUUUAAUACGAGGCUAGACUCUCAGUAUAUGUUGAUAUGGUAUGUGGAAACACGGCUCUUCACUGUGAAGCAGAUUUUGUCGCACAUAACGAGCCGGCCAUCAGCUCGGUGUCACAGCAGACUGUGGAUUUGAUUCGACUGCGGUUGACAAGAAUCGGUAACGGUGGAACGAUUGACAUCGGUAGAGCCCUGGAGACACGGUUGAUUUUGGAGAUGAGUUUAUGUUACCCACCAGCGGAGAGAGGCCGAUAGGUUUUCAUUUUGUUUUUCACUAAGGCUAAGGAGGACUUUUUUUCCACAUUUCCCACCGCUCUAUUGAAUGUGGCUGUAAAAAAUUAGGAGACUGAAACCCCCCUACUAGAAAGUCCAAAACAGACCUAAUUUUUGCACGCAAUUGCGCACAAUUUCCAUUGUUAUUUCUGUAUGGAAUUAAUACAAAUCAAUUUCCACUUUUCGUAAGACGAGUUCCUACUAUCCUAUUUAAUUCCACCGCGAAGACAUUCCACUAAAAGUUCAGUUUUGUUAAUUUUAUGCUUACUUUUUCAAGCAUACUCAUUUGUUAAACAAAAUUAAUCACUUCAUUUUUGGAAUAAGGUAAAUAAACCCAAAAAUACAAACAAGACUAAUCAGACAAUUAUAAGUCAAAUAAGACAAACAAGACAAGUAAGGCAAAUAAUACAAAGAAGACAAAAGAGACAAGUAAGACAAUUGAAACAUGUAAGCUAAAUAAUACAUGAGACAAGUAAGCCAAAUAAGUCAAUUAAGCAAAAUAGGACAAAUAAACCAAAAUAGACAAACGAGACUAACGAGACAAAGUAAGCCAAAUAAGACAAAUGAGACAAUUAAGAGAAAUAAGACGAAAAUAAGACAAACUAGAAAAGUAACCUGUCGAGUCGAGUCAAGUACGAGACACUGAAGACGGCCUUACUAUUGAGGUCGAAAUACGUAUCUGUCAAGAUACAAUUAAGUGGUGGAAUUCAAUGGGAUUGUAUAAACUCGUCUUAUGACAGGUGAAAACAUUCCACUAAAAAGCUCAAAAUAAUUUUCUUAUAGAAAAGUAAGCCAAAUAAGACAAACAAGACAAUUAGCAAUAUAAGACAAAUAUGCCAUAUAAGACAAAUGAGACUAGUAAAGUAAGCCAAAUAAAUGAAUAAAUGAAGAAGGAAGAAGAAAAACGGAAGAGGGAAGAAAUAAAAAGAAAGAUGGAAUAAAUAAUAAGGAAGAAUGGAGAAGAAAGAAGGAAAAAUAAGGAAGGAAGAAGUAAAUAGAAAGAAGAACGAAGGAAAAAGGAAGAAUAGUAAAGGGAGAAGGAAAAAGGAAGACGGAAUACGGAAUAAAGAAUAAAGAAUAAAGAACAAGGAAUAAGGAGCAACGAAGAAGGAAGAAUGAAGAAGGAUCAAGAAAGAAAGAAAAUAGAAGAAUGAAGAAGAGAUAAAGAAGAAGGAAGAAGAAAGAUUGUAGAAAGAUGAGGGAAGAAAGAGAAGGAAAAAAGAAAAGAAAAAAAAAGAAUGGAGAAAGAUGGAAAAAUAAAGAAUUAAAGUAAGAAGAAGGAAGAAAGUAGAGCGAAUAAGAAAGAAGAAAUAGCGGAGAACAAAGAAGGGAGAAGAAAGAAGGAAGAAGCAAGAAUGAAGAAGGAAGAAUGACCAAUGACCGGUCGGCCUAAUGGUCUGACACCAAUAAGACAAGUAAGUCAGAAGUCAAACAAGACAAUUAAAAUAAAUAAGACAAAUAAAUCAAAUAAGACAAAUAAACCAAAAUAUACAAACGUGACUUAUGAGACAAGUAAGCCAAAUAAGACAAACACGACAAUUAAGCGAAAUAAGACAAAAAAGACAAAUGAGGCAAAUAAGCCAAAUAAAGAAAAACAAGACAAUUAAGCGAAAUAAGACAAACAAGACUAUUAGGCUAAGGGCCAAUUUCUUCACCUCCGCGGUGCUUACCCAUACGCUUAAACCUGGUUUAAGAACUAAGCGGAGGUGAAGAAAUCGGCUCUAAAUAUGACAAAUAAACCAAAAUAGACCAACGAGAUUAAUGAGACAAGUAAGCCAAAUAAGACCAACAAGACAAGUAAACCAUCUAAUACUAAGGACACACCUGUGGUACUUGUACCAUGGUACAAGAGGACAAGAAAAUUAUUUCAAGACUAUCUUUGAUGAAGACAAUAAUCGGUACGUUACUCAUUUCAAGAUUCUUAUAUCAUGGUACUUAUACCACCAGUGUGUCAUUAUAUAAGAUGAGUUUAAUACUUUCCAUUAAAUUCCA